UGGGGGCCCGACUUAGAACUCUCGGGUCGGGUUUUUACUAAUGUUGGGUUGAUGUAGUAAAUGGUGUUAUUAGCAUUGAUUGAUCUGAAAGAAUUACAAUUUUGAGAUCAAAAAAAUGGAGGAGCAGAAGAAGAACAAGUACAGUAUAAUUAUACCCACCUACAACGAACGCCUAAACAUUGCUCUCGUCAUUUACCUCGUCUUUAAACAUCUCUCGGAUGUUGAUUUCGAAAUAAUAGUAGUGGAUGAUGGAAGUCCAGAUGGCACACAGGAUAUUGUCAAACAAUUGCAGAAAGUAUAUGGAGAAGAUCAUAUUUUAUUGAGACCUCGACCUAGGAAACUUGGUUUAGGUACUGCAUAUAUUCAUGGUUUGAAGCAUGCCUCAGGCAAUUUUGUUGUCAUUAUGGAUGCGGAUCUUUCUCACCAUCCGAAAUACCUGCCAAGAUUUAUCAAGAAACAAAUGGAGACUGGUGCCAAUAUAGUUACUGGAACUCGAUAUGUUACUGGUGGUGGUGUCCACGGAUGGAACCUUAUGCGCAAAUUGACAAGUAGGGGAGCAAAUGUCCUUGCACAGACACUACUUUGGCCGGGUGUAUCAGACUUAACUGGAUCCUUCCGGCUGUACCAGAAAUCUGCACUAGAAGACAUCAUAAGCUGUUGUGUUAGUAAAGGAUAUGUUUUUCAGAUGGAGAUGAUUGUUCGGGCUUCAAGAAAAGGUUACCGCAUUGAAGAGGUGUCUGAACUGAGAUUGUUGGGAUUUAGAUCUGUAUCUGUAGUUGAUCUAAGUGACAUAGAAGUUGAAGUUUGAUCUGCUACCAAGUUGGCUGAUAUUGGUGCCUUUUUAUUUCAUCGUGUGAUGGACUGAGGAGCAAGGGAGAAAGGAUUACCGGCCAUGUACUCCAUAGUUUGGUUGCAGAAUGCUAGUAGCUAAUUAACUCUGAUCUCUGUUGGUAUAUUCGUUAGGGUCACUAUGAUUUGUUUAGACGAGUUAGUUGAGACGUGGAAAAUAUUGGAGACUCUACUAUGUCCUUCUCGGGUGUUAUAACCUUUCCACAUAGAGUGCUACUGAGGAACUGUCUGUUCUUCCAACUCACACAAAGUUAUUGUGAUGGGAAACAACAGAACUAUAGACUGUUUUGCUGGGGCUUCAGGGAGCUGUCAAGAAGGCUGUUGAGCUUGGUGGUUGGCAUGGGCUGGUUUGAAAAUAUGGGUUGAAGUCAAGCUACAAAGAAAUGCAUUGAAUGUGCUAGAACCUCCCGGGGAGGGGGGGGGGGGGGGGGGUGAUGAUUAUGACUUUGGUGACUCGAGCAGUGGUGCAGCUCCUGGUGAAAGUGAAAACCAUCACUUUGCCACUGGUGUUGCAUACAGAAAAGUGAACAACCUACAGUUCAUUUACGACACCAUGGCGUUAUCUGGACCAGCAAAGAUAAUGAGCCGUGGCAGCGAAGUUGAACCUAACUAUUUUGCAGCCGAGGAGAACUUGGCAAAACUGAACUGGUUCAUUAUGGAGGUACUAGCGAAACUUCAACCAACACAUAAAUAAAGAUCAGCUGCUUAGCCCUGUGCAGUUGUACUUCUCGGUGCAGCGAGUUGACGAGGCACAUGUGGUAGUGGAAUUUAUCCGCUACCGAGAGAUUAAGAUCAGAUCACAGUCACACACACACAUUGAGAUUUUAUGACAGGCAAAGUUGAAGGUUCCAAUUACUUUUGUCGAUAGAGUAUUUGGAAGUUCCAAGCUGGGAGGAUCUGAAAUAGUGGAGUACCUGAAGGGCCUUCUGUAUCUU
Molecule: non-coding RNA, 1784 nt
Organism: Nicotiana tabacum (common tobacco)
Lineage: Eukaryota; Viridiplantae; Streptophyta; Magnoliopsida; Solanales; Solanaceae
Source: RefSeq, a predicted model, not a curated record